This 1486-nucleotide long non-coding RNA is filed under the name Homo sapiens (human). RNAcentral describes it as "HSALNT0308203". Lineage: Eukaryota; Metazoa; Chordata; Mammalia; Primates; Hominidae. The record is from RNAcentral.
GCGGCCAGAGCGGUGGGACCGGUAACACCAAGAGCCGAGAAGACGCAGGGACCCGGGACCGCGCGCGGGAGGAAACGCGGCGGCCGCCCAAGCUGUCACCUCCAGCCUCUCCCCUCUCGGCCGCCUCUGCCAGCAGCCAGAGCCGGACUCACUGACAAGCCGCAGAGAGAGACACACUGAGAGGGAGAUGAUUAUUAGUUGCGUUGAGUCAUCAGGCAAAGACCCCGAGGGCUCUCCCACAUCUCCCGCAGCAAGAGCCACCGAUCCCCCUUAAGAAGCGUUGACUGUACGGCGGCGCCAGAGGGCCAAACUAAGUUCGGUUUCGGGAAACGCUCUCGGGAGCAGUUCUGUAAAUCCCUGCUGGGAGCAGAGACUGCGAAAAGCUGAGUCCGCCGAUCGUGCCCGGGACAAGGCUGCCUUCCACUCGCCCUCGCCGCAUCUACCUGGUAGGCGGCAUGCGCACGGGCUUAGAGGCUUGAGAGCCUCUGGAAGAGAAAGGGUCCCAGGAAGGAAACCUGCCCCCGGCCUAAGUGUCGGCGCCCAGAUCACCACGAACCCCGCACCUAGGCGCCGCCCACCAAGUUCCAAAGAAGUCCGAGGCGACCUGGGAGUCGGUCGGAUCCCAGCCGAGAAAAGAAACAAGCAGGAUAGCAAUUCUUAGGGGAGCCACCCUGGGAGUUUUAGGCAGCGUUUGCCUUUCCCUGGUUUUCUUCACCAAGCCCCAUCCUCCCCCCGCAUACCACCCCCAGUCAAAAGAGUGGGAGAAAAUGCACAGUUCGAAGUCGGUGAGAGCAAAAAUGGGUCUAGUAAAUCAACCCGUGGUGGUAGCUAAAAGGUUUGGGGCUGCAAAGAAACAAACUGUAAGUUUUGAGCAACAAACUUUUUCUUCAAUCUGUAAUAUGUCGAAAUGGGAAGGGGGUGUUGCAAAAGCCAACUACCACUGUCAAACUUAGCCCGUUUACAACAUGGGGAAAGGCGUAUUUCUUACUAAUAUCUCAACAACGAUAACAAUGCUGUAUCCUUCCUUACCUUGAUGUUGAACUGCGAAUCCUCCUCCGGAUCAAUGUCCAGGAACUUAGAAGAAUUGGUGAUAUUAGGAGUUCAGUACUUCUGGAAAAAAAUGCAAAUGGUUUAGCCAGGAUCUUUCCUGUCUGAUUCGUCACUAUUAUUAUAUCUGAUGAUGCGAAUGGUUGGAGCGAUUCAAUCCUAAGUCAUUAAUGAGCUAUUUUAUAAACACCACUGUCUGAAGAUCUUCAUUUACAUUUUGCUAAGGAUCACUUCGCUAACCUCACAGGCUUGUGUCAACAGCAUGAUUUGCAGGACUUCAGUUACACUCUUAUAAACAACACGGCUGUAUUGUUAAUCGGUUAAUAUUUUAUAAAGUGUAAAUAUUUUAUUAUGUUUUGAAGGGAACUAUUGAUUCUAAAUUAUUAAACCCCUGAGAAGGACUAUUUAAAUGAAAUAUACAAUUAAGUACAAUUAAAUG